Drosophila melanogaster (fruit fly) is the source of this 331-nucleotide non-coding RNA. NCBI's taxonomy places the organism in Eukaryota, Metazoa, Arthropoda, Insecta, Diptera, Drosophilidae. The record is from Ensembl.
CGAUUACCAACCAUAUUUGCUGUCGAUGGAGGGCAGAUCAAAAUACUUGUAGACGUUGCCGUCCUGGGUGAAUGACUCCUGGAACUGGGCAAAGGGAUUGGCGCCUGCAAGGAAGACAGGAUUAGCGUACAGAUCAAAUACUCCUUUUUCCAAUUAAAUCCCACCGGAGCCGGACAUUGUGGAAAAAUUAAACAGAAAACCAAGCAAUGUGAUAUAGAGAUGAGCGCGUGAGGAACCGCUACCAGGCAAAACUUGCUCAUCACUAACGCAAACAUUAUAUUAUCGAUAACUGAACAUGAAAACAAACCGGUACACAGUAAAAAAUAUUUAU